RNAcentral lists this ribosomal RNA (523 nucleotides) under uncultured marine eukaryote. RNAcentral describes it as "SSU rRNA". It matches the Rfam family "Eukaryotic small subunit ribosomal RNA", at positions 619 to 1157 of the family's 1831-position model. The record is from RNAcentral.
UUAAAAAGCUCGUAGUUGGAUUUCUGGCGGGGACCCGGGUACCCCUGGUGGGUGUGCUCGGGCCCGGCCAUCCUUCUGUCAACUUUCGCGCGUCCUUCACCGGUCGGCAAAGGGAUCAGAUAAUUUACCUUGAGAAAAUUAGAGUGUUUCAGGCAGGCUUAGCCGGAAUACAUUAGCAUGGAAUAAUGGAAUAGGACUGAGGUCUCGUUGUUGGUUACGCGGACUACAGUAAUGAUUAAUAGGGACAGUUGGGGGCAUUAGUAUUUAUUAGCUAGAGGUGGAAUUCUCUAAUUUGAUAAAGACUAACUUAUGCGAAAGCAUUUGCCAAGGAUGUUUUCAUUAAUCAAGAACGAAAGUUAGGGGAUCAAAGACGAAUCAGAUACCGUCCUAGUCUUAACCAUAAACUAUGCCGACUCGGGAUCGGGAGACGCUGUGUUAUCCGCUUUCGGCACCGUAUGAGAAAUUAAAGUCUUUGGGUUCUGGGGGGAAUAUGGCCGCAAAGCUGAAACUUAAAGGAAUUGAC